AGAAUCAACGCUGGCGGCGUGCCUAACACAUGCAAGUCGAACGAGAAAGUGGAGCAAUCCAUGAGUAAAGUGGCGACCGGGUGAGUAACACGUGACUAACCUACCUUCGAGUGGGGGAUAACAUCGGGAAACCGAUGCUAAUACCGCAUAACAUCGCAAGAUCAAAGCAGCAAUGCGCUGGAAGAGGGGGUCGCGGCUGAUUAGCUAGUUGGCGGGGUAACGGCCCACCAAGGCGAAGAUCGGUA
RNAcentral lists this ribosomal RNA (245 nucleotides) under uncultured bacterium. RNAcentral describes it as "partial small subunit ribosomal RNA". It matches the Rfam family "Bacterial small subunit ribosomal RNA", at positions 26 to 285 of the family's 1533-position model. The record is from RNAcentral.